CCUACGGGUGGCUGCAGUGGGGAAUAUUGGACAAUGGGGGCAACCCUGAUCCAGCCAUGCCGCGUGUGUGAAGAAGGCCCUCGGGUUGUAAAGCACUUUCAGUGAGGAAGAACGCCUGGUGGUUAAUACCCAUCAGGAAAGACAUCACUCACAGAAGAAGCACCGGCUAACUCCGUGCCAGCAGCCGCGGUAAUACGGAGGGUGCGAGCGUUAAUCGGAAUUACUGGGCGUAAAGCGCGCGUAGGUGGCUUGAUAAGCCGGUUGUGAAAGCCCCGGGCUCAACCUGGGAACGGCAUCCGGAACUGUCAAGCUAGAGUGCAGGAGAGGAAGGUAGAAUUCCCGGUGUAGCGGUGAAAUGCGUAGAGAUCGGGAGGAAUACCAGUGGCGAAGGCGGCCUUCUGGACUGACACUGACACUGAGGUGCGAAAGCGUGGGUAGCACACAGGAUUAGAUACCCCAGUAGUC
Molecule: ribosomal RNA, 465 nt
Filed under: Vreelandella stevensii
Lineage: Bacteria; Pseudomonadati; Pseudomonadota; Gammaproteobacteria; Oceanospirillales; Halomonadaceae
Description: partial 16S ribosomal RNA
Rfam family: Bacterial small subunit ribosomal RNA
Source: RNAcentral